CGAACACAUCCACCAACGAAACGGCAGGAGCGGGGGACCCACAGGCAGUUCCGCCUGGUCCGGUCUUCCCGGAGCAGGCUUGGGGUAAAGCGGUGCCUCGGCGCCGCCGGACAUCUCCUGUCCGCACCCGACAGCUCACCUCGUAGGCGCAGGAGAGGAAAU
Non-coding RNA from Streptomyces acidiscabies, 162 nucleotides. The record is from Rfam. Lineage: Bacteria; Bacillati; Actinomycetota; Actinomycetes; Kitasatosporales; Streptomycetaceae.